AAUCUGCUGACGAUCGUUCGACCGCCCUCUCUGUGCAGAGUGCUGAACGUCGCGCCGCCGCCGUCCCGGUGCCGCUGCCCGCUCUGCAGUCGCAGUGAGCAGCUGGCUGCGGCUGACCGGAAUCGGCAGAUAGUUAUCGAUAGUCUUUUCGACCGUCAGGCGUCAGAGCCGGUCGAGCACCGAGCGGAGCGGAGCGUCCGAGGCCGAAGGCCCAAAGGCCAAACGCAACAAGUUGCGGUCAACGGGCAUUGGAGGUGACACGAACGGCCUAACCGACUUAGACGAGGUGGCGCUGAGCUUGGACGACGGCACUUACGACUAUGUGGUACCGGGCGCGCUCUGCAGUCUCUCGGCCAGGACCCGAAACCAGCUGAGGGCGGCAGCGGAGCUCUGACACCGGAGACGUGGGCGGAGGCCAAAGAUAAUGUGAUCUUCGUAGAAGAAGAGACAUCCCAGCCUCUCUCGCAGUUACCCACCUCCAUCCUCUCCCAGCCCUCUACCUCUGAGCUCUCCUCCCAGCCCUCCCAGCCCACCGCCUCCCAGCCCUCCCAGACGGCCGCCUCCCACCCCUCCCAGCCCACCGACUCCCACCCCUCCCAGACGGCCGCCUCCCUCCCAUCCC
Long non-coding RNA from Amphibalanus amphitrite, 622 nucleotides. RefSeq lists it as uncharacterized. The transcript is spliced from 3 exons. The record is from RefSeq and is a predicted model, not a curated record. Lineage: Eukaryota; Metazoa; Arthropoda; Thecostraca; Balanomorpha; Balanidae.